Molecule: small RNA, 272 nt
Filed under: Drosophila guanche
Lineage: Eukaryota; Metazoa; Arthropoda; Insecta; Diptera; Drosophilidae
Source: RNAcentral
GCUUUUUGUGCCGCUCCAUUGCCGCAGCCUUUGGCUGUCAAACUUUGCUGUUGUUGGGUGCCCGUGUCGUCGAUUCGUACUGACCACGCCCUAAGGCCGCAUAUGCAUCGGCAUACGCCUGCUGCUGCUGCUGCUGCUGCUGCUGUUGCUGUGGCUCCAGUUGCUGCUGCUCCUGCUGCUGCUGUAGCUGCUGAUGCUGCUGCUGCUGCUGUUCGUGCAGCGAAGUCGGCCGACUAAAGCUUACUUGUAGCAGCGGCGGCGCGACGGCUAUG